Molecule: ribosomal RNA, 252 nt
Filed under: uncultured Gammaproteobacteria bacterium
Lineage: Bacteria; Pseudomonadati; Pseudomonadota; Gammaproteobacteria
Description: partial 16S ribosomal RNA
Rfam family: Bacterial small subunit ribosomal RNA
Source: RNAcentral
GAGUUUGAUCAUGGCUCAGAUUGAACGCUGGCGGCAGGCCUAACACAUGCAAGUCGAGCGGCAGCGACAUAGACAAUCCUUCGGGUGCGCUUAUGGGCGGCGAGCGGCGGACGGGUGAGUAAUGCCUGGGAAUAUGCCCUGAUGUGGGGGAUAACCAUUGGAAACGAUGGCUAAUACCGCAUAAUCUCUUCGGAGCAAAGAGGGGGACCUUCGGGCCUCUCGCGUCAGGGUUAGUCCCAGGUGAGAUUAGCU